CCAUGCACCCGGAUCUGACACUCCAUUGUGCCCCAGAGGGGGAGGGUGUCUCUGUGUGUUGUGAUCUGAUAAGCCCCUUCAUUUGGGCCGUUUGAAAGGAGUGAAAGGAGUCGUGGGGAGACUUUCAUCUUCAGAACAAAAAGAGAGCAGGUCGAGAGGGAGAGACAGAGAGAGAGACAGAGGGAGGGAGAGACAGAGAGAGAGACAGACAGAGGGAGAGACAGAGGGAGAGACAGAGAGAGACAGACAGAGGGAGAGACAGAGAGAGACAGACAGAGGGAGAGACAGAGAGAGACAGACAGAGGGAGAGACAGAGGGAGAGACAGACAGAGGGAGAGACAGAGAGAGACAGACAGAGGGAGAGACAGAGAGAGAGACAGAGAGAGGGAGAGACAGACAGAGGGAGAGACAGAGAGAGGGAGAGACAGACAGAGGGAGAGACAGACAGAGGGAGAGACAGAGAGAGAGAGACAGAGGGAGAGACAGAGAGAGAGACAGACAGAGGGAGAGACAGAGAGAGACAGACAGAGGGAGAGACAGAGAGAGAGACAGAGGGAGAGACAGAGGGAGGGAGAGACAGAGAGAGACAGACAGAGGGAGAGACAGAGAGAGAGACAGACAGAGGGAGAGACAGAGAGAGACAGACAGAGGGAGAGACAGAGAGAGAGACAGAGGGAGAGACAGAGGGAGGGAGAGACAGAGAGAGACAGACAGAGGGAGAGACAGAGAGAGAGACAGACAGAGGGAGAGACAGAGAGAGACAGACAGAGGGAGCGACAGAGAGAGAGAGACAGAGAGAGAGACAGAGGGAGGGAGAGAAGAGUGGGACAGAGGGAGGGAGAGAAGGGUGGGGUGAGAGGAGGAAGAGAUGAGAGAGGGAUAAAGAAAGAGAGAGAGCUAAUCCACAGGAUGUUUAACUUGGGCAUGCUGACAGAGGACAAUAAAGAGAAAACAAAGAAACACCAGUAUGUCCUGCUUCCUGUUGGAGACAGAAGACUGAGGAGAGAAGGAAGAGAAACGGAGAAUAUUACAGAAAUAGGGGUUUAAUA
This 1049-nucleotide long non-coding RNA is filed under the name Oncorhynchus kisutch (coho salmon). RNAcentral's name for it is "lncRNA (ENSOKIG00005042441.1)". Lineage: Eukaryota; Metazoa; Chordata; Actinopteri; Salmoniformes; Salmonidae. The record is from RNAcentral.